AGAGCUUGAUCAUGGCUCAGGGUGAACGCUAGCGGCGCGCCUUAGGCAUGCAAGUCGAACGACGUGCCCCCGCAAGGGGGUUACGAGUGGCAGACGGGUGAGUAACGCGUAGGAAUCUACCCUAAAGUGGGGGAUAAUUCGCCGAAAGGCGGACUAAUACCGCAUGUGAAGGCAACUUCAAAGUACGUAACUGUACGCUUUAGGAUGAGCCUGCGUCCCAUCAGCUUGUUGGUAGGGUAAUGGCCUACCAAGGCAACGACGGGUAGCUGGGCUGAGAGGUCGGCCAGCCACAAUGGCACUGAGACACGGGCCAUACACCUACGGGUGGCAGCAACCGGGAAUCUUGGACAAUGGGCGAAAGCCUGAUCCAGCGACGCCGCGUGGAGGAUGACGGCCUUCGGGUUGUAAACUCCUUUUACUAGGGAAUAAACUCUGCGAGGAAUCGGUAAUCUUUGCUUUAGAAAAAUCUAGCAGUAUUUUGUGAGCAGCCGCGGUAAUAC
This 500-nucleotide ribosomal RNA is filed under the name uncultured bacterium. Its description in RNAcentral is "bacterial SSU rRNA". It matches the Rfam family "Bacterial small subunit ribosomal RNA", at positions 8 to 526 of the family's 1533-position model. The record is from RNAcentral.